Molecule: ribosomal RNA, 245 nt
Filed under: uncultured bacterium
Lineage: Bacteria
Description: partial 16S ribosomal RNA
Rfam family: Bacterial small subunit ribosomal RNA
Source: RNAcentral
AUUGAACGCUGGCGGCAGGCCUAACACAUGCAAGUUCGAGCGGUAACAGGGGAAGCUUGCUUCCCGCUGACGAGCGGCGGACGGGUGAGUAAUGUAUGGGGAUCUGCCCGAUAGAGGGGGAUAACCACUGGAAACGGUGGCUAAUACCGCAUAAUCUCUUGGAGCAAAGCAGGGGAACUUCGGUCCUUGCGCUAUCGGAUGAACCCAUAUGGGAUUAGCUAGUAGGUGGGGUAAUGGCUCACCUA